Molecule: ribosomal RNA, 445 nt
Filed under: uncultured Oscillospiraceae bacterium
Lineage: Bacteria; Bacillati; Bacillota; Clostridia; Eubacteriales; Oscillospiraceae
Description: bacterial SSU rRNA
Rfam family: Bacterial small subunit ribosomal RNA
Source: RNAcentral
GACCUACGGGAGGCUGCAGUGGGGAAUAUUGGGCAAUGGGGGCAACCCUGACCCAGCAACGCCGCGUGAAGGAAGAAGGCUUUCGGGUUGUAAACUUCUUUGACGAGGGACGAAAAAAAUGACGGUACCUCGAAAACAAGCCACGGCUAACUACGUGCCAGCAGCAGCGGUAAUACGUAGGUGGCAAGCGUUGUCCGGAUUUACUGGGUGGAAAGGGCGCGUAGGCGGGGAUACAAGUCAGAUGUGAAAUCUGGGGGCUUAACCCUCAAACUGCAUUUGAAACUGUAUUUCUUGAGUAUCAGAGAGGCAGGCGGAAUUCCUAGUGUAGCGGUGAAAUGCGUAGAUAUUAGGAGGAACACCAGUGGCGAAGGCGGCCUGCUGGACGACAACUGACGCUGAGGCGCGAAAGCGUGGGGAGCAAACCGGAUUAGAUACCCCGGUAGUC